ACAUGUGCGUGACGCUACCUCUGGUGAUGAUUGGAUGCGUUGCGUCCUCGCAACUCUUCAUUUGAGUGAGUGGCGAACUGGUGAGUAACACGUGGGAAACCUGCCCAGAAGCGGGGGAUAACACCUGGAAACAGAUGCUAAUACCGCAUAACAACUUGGACCGCAUGGUCCGAGUUUGAAAGAUGGCUUCGGCUAUCACUUUUGGAUGGUCCCGCGGCGUAUUAGCUAGAUGGUGAGGUAACGGCUCACCAUGGCAAUGAUACGUAGCCGACCUGAGAGGGUAAUCGGCCACAUUGGGACUGAGACACGGCCCAAACUCCUACGGGAGGCAGCAGUAGGGAAUCUUCCACAAUGGACGAAAGUCUGAUGGAGCAACGCCGCGUGAGUGAAGAAGGGUUUCGGCUCGUAAAACUCUGUUGUUAAAGAAGAACAUAUCUGAGAGUAACUGUUCAGGUAUUGACGGUAUUUAACCAGAAAGCCACGGCUAACUACGUGCCAGCAGCCGCGGUAAUACGUAGGUGGCAAGCGUUGUCCGGAUUUAUUGGGCGUAAAGCGAGCGCAGGCGGUUUUUUAAGUCUGAUGUGAAAGCCUUCGGCUCAACCGAAGAAGUGCAUCGGAAACUGGGAAACUUGAGUGCAGAAGAGGACAGUGGAACUCCAUGUGUAGCGGUGAAAUGCGUAGAUAUAUGGAAGAACACCAGUGGCGAAGGCGGCUGUCUGGUCUGUAACUGACGCUGAGGCUCGAAAGUAUGGGUAGCAAACAGGAUUAGAUACCCUGGUAGUCCAUACCGUAAACGAUGAAUGCUAAGUGUUGGAGGGUUUCCGCCCUUCAGUGCUGCAGCUAACGCAUUAAGCAUUCCGCCUGGGGAGUACGGCCGCAAGGCUGAAACUCAAAGGAAUUGACGGGGGCCCGCACAAGCGGUGGAGCAUGUGGUUUAAUUCGAAGCUACGCGAAGAACCUUACCAGUCUUGACAUACUAUGCAAAUCUAGAGAUUAGACGUUCCCUUCGGG
Molecule: ribosomal RNA, 1011 nt
Filed under: Lactiplantibacillus plantarum
Lineage: Bacteria; Bacillati; Bacillota; Bacilli; Lactobacillales; Lactobacillaceae
Description: bacterial SSU rRNA
Rfam family: Bacterial small subunit ribosomal RNA
Source: RNAcentral